Molecule: long non-coding RNA, 713 nt
Organism: Lathyrus oleraceus (garden pea)
Lineage: Eukaryota; Viridiplantae; Streptophyta; Magnoliopsida; Fabales; Fabaceae
Exons: 2
Source: RefSeq, a predicted model, not a curated record
ACGGAGGGAUUGAACCUCCCUUGGGCCAAACGAGGCGCUGAUCUAUGAUUCCUCAAUGUUAUCAAAACACCACACGCAGUAAAAAGGAUGCAAAUGACCAGCCAUUCUCGUCGGUGUCUCUCUCCUUAACCAGAACACAAAACGCGAAAUCACGUCACCUACUUCGAUUCCAAAAUCAACACUAACAUAAUCACAUAAAAAUUAUCCACACACACUCGAUUCGAUGACUAAACCUCACGAGUAAGCACGGAUUUGGAUCGACAACAAUCGAACGGAUCUCCAAGCUUCGCGGCGAGCUAUGGCGAGCAUCAAUCGAAUCCUUAAGUCGUUGUAUUUCAUCAAGAUUAAGCAUAAAAUUGCGUUAGCGUGUACCUCUUAGAAGUUCAACGUGAGACGAUUUCCAGUGAUGAAUGAACCAAGAAGAACUUUCAAAGCUCCAGUUUGAAGCAAGUUGAAGAUGAUGAAGAUGGGAGCGCAGGAAUUCUUCGCGUGCAGGUGAGAAUGGUUGGUGUAAAAACCCCCCCUCUUGCGAUGCCAUUUCAGAUUGCUUUAUAGAGUUAAUCAAUAGGGGUAGUUUAGGACUUGUGAUUGAAGUUUGUUAUGAAAGUUUUGGAUUUGCAGCUGGUCGCGUUUCUCAUUGCGUUUUGCACCAUUUCCGUGCAUAUUUGUAUUUCAACAUUGAGAUUCUCUUCAAAUUGCAUUGUUUUUUUGUA